Molecule: ribosomal RNA, 231 nt
Filed under: uncultured bacterium
Lineage: Bacteria
Description: partial 16S ribosomal RNA
Rfam family: Bacterial small subunit ribosomal RNA
Source: RNAcentral
UUCCUACGGGAGGCAGCAGUGGGGAAUAUUGCACAAUGGGGGAAACCCUGAUGCAGCAACGCCGCGUGAAGGAAGACGGUUUUAGGAUUGUAAACUCCUUUUGUUAGAGAAGAUUAUGACGGUAUCUAACGAAAAAGCACCGGCUAACUCCGUGCCAGCAGCCGCGGUAAUACGGAGGGUGCAAGCGUUACUCGGAAUCACUGGGCGUAAAGAGUGCGUAGGCGGGGUAAU